AAGCGGCAGCGUCUGCGCGGCCAUGGGUGGGUGUGUACAUGUGUGUCCUCGUGUGCAGGGUGAACACACGUGCCCAGGCGUGUUUACACGUGCAUAGAGCUGCCAACAUGUGUAUGAGUACAGGCCCGAAUUCCCUGUUGGAGCACGGGGCUGAGCCGGGAAUAGCGCGGGAGCGGAGCCAAAUCGUGACGGCUAAACAUUUGCACCCUGGCUUGAACAAGAUACCCCAC
This is a long non-coding RNA of Neopelma chrysocephalum (saffron-crested tyrant-manakin), 230 nucleotides long. RefSeq lists it as uncharacterized. The record is from RefSeq and is a predicted model, not a curated record. The transcript has 3 exons. Lineage: Eukaryota; Metazoa; Chordata; Aves; Passeriformes; Pipridae.